Molecule: Y RNA, 95 nt
Filed under: Microcebus murinus (gray mouse lemur)
Lineage: Eukaryota; Metazoa; Chordata; Mammalia; Primates; Cheirogaleidae
Description: Y RNA (ENSMICG00000045657.1)
Rfam family: Y RNA
About the family: Y RNAs are components of the Ro ribonucleoprotein particle (Ro RNP), in association with Ro60 and La proteins. The Y RNAs and Ro60 and La proteins are well conserved, but the function of the Ro RNP is not known.
Source: Rfam by way of RNAcentral
GGCUGGUCGAUGGUAGUGGGUUAUCAGAACUUAUUAACAUUUAGUGUCACUAAAGUUGAUAUUCAACCCCCACUGAUAAAUUUGACUGGCUUUAA